CCUACGGGGGGCUGCAGUGAGGAAUAUUGGUCAAUGGCCGGAAGGCUGAACCAGCCAAGCCGCGUGAAGGACGAAGGUGCCAAGCAUUGUAAACUUCUUUUGUCAAGGGACAAAAUCAGGCUCGAGAGCCUGACCGAGGGUACUUGAAGAAAAAGCAUCGGCUAACUCCGUGCCAGCAGCCGCGGUAAUACGGAGGAUGCGAGCGUUAUCCGGAUUUAUUGGGUUUAAAGGGUGCGUAGGCGGGCUGUUAAGUCAGCGGUAAAAGCCCGGGGCUCAACCCGUGAACUGCAUUUGAAACUGUUUCCCUUGAGUGUCGGAGAGGUAAUCGGAAUUCCUUGUGUAGCGGUGAAAUGCGUAGAUAUAAGGAAGAACACCAGUGGCGAAGGCGGAUUACUGGACGAUAACUGACGGUGAGGCGCGAAAGCGUGGGGAGCAAACAGGAUUAGAUACCCGGGUAGUC
Molecule: ribosomal RNA, 460 nt
Filed under: uncultured bacterium
Lineage: Bacteria
Description: partial 16S ribosomal RNA
Rfam family: Bacterial small subunit ribosomal RNA
Source: RNAcentral